Papilio xuthus (Asian swallowtail) is the source of this 353-nucleotide long non-coding RNA. RefSeq lists it as uncharacterized. The record is from RefSeq and is a predicted model, not a curated record. Lineage: Eukaryota; Metazoa; Arthropoda; Insecta; Lepidoptera; Papilionidae. The transcript has 3 exons.
GCGGCUGCCAGCGCCGCCGCAGGAGCGGCCGACACCGCCGGAAAGCUAGCGCGCGGGCCUAACCCUCUCGUUGACACCGCGCAGAACCAGCUCCGGGCCUCGGAGAUCUUAAAGACCAAGGGGGCCGCCGUUCUGGCCAGAGCCGAUGAGUUACGCAAGCAGCUGGAGGGCGCGCAGCGGGGCGUGGACGUGGUCAGCGUGGAGCUGCGCGCGCUCGGCUGGAAGGAGCGCGCGCUGGCCGGCGGACAAGCCGACAGCAACGCAGUGCGCGAGGAGCUGUCGCGAGCGGGCGUGCAGGCGGACCGCGUGUUCGUGCGGGCGCGUGCGCUGUACGACGAGGCGGCGGAGCUGCG